This 68-nucleotide transfer RNA is filed under the name Nomascus siki (southern white-cheeked gibbon). Its description in RNAcentral is "tRNA-Gly". Lineage: Eukaryota; Metazoa; Chordata; Mammalia; Primates; Hylobatidae. The record is from RNAcentral.
ACUCUUUUAGUAUAAACAGUACUAUUAACUUCCAAUUAAUCAGCUUCGACAAGGCUCGAAAAAGAGUA